GUGGACUGGCUCGUUCUUAGUUUACGAAAAUCAUCAUUUUUCUUUUUUUUUAAAAAUUCAUUUUAUUACACCUGACAGUGGGCGAUAAUACCAUCGACGGUACGAUGUGAAAAGACGACAGCGCGGGCACAGCGGCGGUCCGUCGAGCCUCAGCGCAUCAGGAAUGUGAGUGCUUGAAUAUUCGAAACCCGCAAGCUGGAGCGAGGAACGGAGCUAUAAAGAAGAAACACCGCAGUUGUGAUUACAUCGUCAGGAAUUUCGCAUAGCGAGACCAUUAGAACAAUCUACGCGAUGCUGUUGUAGUUUUGAAUCCUUGCGUCGAGGUCGGCGUGCGGUGAAACGCAGUUUCAUGGAUUGACUGUAAAUCCAGGACCUACGGGAGACGAUGGUGUAGAGGAAAGGAGGAGAGUAGAAGCAAAAACAGAGAGACUGAAAGGGAGCAAAAGGAGUAAGUAAAAAAGAUUCGACGCGCUCUGUAGCGCUUUCGGGCGCGUGAUUAGAAAGAGGAGGAGAAUAGCACCAAGGAAAAGGGGAGAAAGGAGCAAGCUUCGUGGAUGUAUAAGGUCUAGGCGAUCUCCGGAAGGCGAUCUGCGUUAUCCCAUCACCUGAUCGCUAUUGCAGUAUAACUUACCUUCUUUGGAGCAGUAAUAGUGAGAACACCAUCCGAAGAUAAGCUCGAGGUAACGUCCGAGACUUCGUGGGUCGGGGGGAGGAGAUAACGCCUAACGAAGUGCCGGCUGAUGUAGCCGUGCUCAUCCUGCUUCUCCUCGUGUUUCGCCUCGACGACAACGUUAUUGUCGACGGUUUUGACCGUUAUUUCAUCCGGUGAGAAUUGUUGCACGUCAAGUAUCACCUGGAAAGAAAAGAAGAGAGGAUUUGAAGGAGGUAAAACAACAGCGUAAAAUAAAAAAUAAACAUUAUACCAGUGCCAGCAGCGCGUGAUUGAUCGUCGCGGUAUACUGAGAGGUACUUAUUGCUAGGCCUACGCUUCGUACGAUAAAAUCAUUUCGGCUGCAUCGCGUUGACGAUCAAGCCUUGAAUAACAUCGACGAGCCCAGCAACAGUCACUGUGUCCGGAACACUGAUAAAUCUGGCAAUUGCCUUCUAUCCACCUGCAGCCGUCAUCGCAGCCUUCCCACGUGAGAUAUACAAUAUCACUACAUCUUAAUUAUUAACUGGUACACAAACAAUUUCUGGUAUCACACAUGCGUAUAUUCCCGUAAGGCAGCAAAGAAGUUGCGAUUUGUUGUUCUUUUUUUUUUUUCCUUUUUACUUUCUCUUUCCUUGUUCAAAGAUAAUUGAUACUGUUUCAAAAAGGGAAAGUUAGGCGAAACUAUGAGUAAAUAAGAGUUAAAAAAAAAAACAUCUGAUUGGAUUGUGUCCGCGA
Neodiprion fabricii is the source of this 1387-nucleotide long non-coding RNA. RefSeq lists it as uncharacterized. The record is from RefSeq and is a predicted model, not a curated record. The transcript is spliced from 3 exons. Lineage: Eukaryota; Metazoa; Arthropoda; Insecta; Hymenoptera; Diprionidae.